This 21-nucleotide microRNA is filed under the name Glycine max (soybean). RNAcentral describes it as "gma-miR5040". Lineage: Eukaryota; Viridiplantae; Streptophyta; Magnoliopsida; Fabales; Fabaceae. The record is from miRBase by way of RNAcentral.
AUGAUAUAUAACAAGCAUGAG